GGGGGGGGUCACAGGGAACAGAGGACACCCUGGAUGGGAUGCCAGCUCUCUGCGGGACACACUCACGCUACAAGAUGCCUGUUCAUAUAACUAAAUCUUUUUGGACUGUCCAGGGAAAGCGGAGUGCCCUCACAACAUGGGGAGAACAUGCAGACUCACAAAGUUGGAGCAGAAGAGAAAAAAACCCUUGGAACAAAGACUCAGUGGAUGGGAGAUCACACAGGUCCAAGCCCUGAAAGAGACAAUUAUCCACAAUUGGAGCCUGUCGGGAUGAACAAACGUUUAAUAAGCAGGAUGAGGCUCCAGUUGCCCCGGAGAGGCAUGGCUCUUGUCCGUGAGCAAGGGGUGCGGUUGAGUGACGAGGUCAGCCCUUGGCUGGGAUGCUGAUGCCCCCCGAUAAUGGAGACAGGGGUGGCUGAUCACAGCAGGAGGUUGGCGGGACCAGGAUGGUGCUCUGGUGCUGUGGGAGAGGUCAGCCUGGCCAUCUCUCCUGAUCAGCUCAGGAGGCUCCGGGCCUGCCCAAGCACCUCACUGGAGUUGAGACUCAAGCCACCAAGCAAACAGUGUUUUAUAGGCAAGUAUUUGCAGUCGGUGCAUUAUUUCUCUCCGAAGAAAUGUCCUCCGAAGACACUUUAAAUGUUUCUCGGGAACUCGUGUACAUCAAGGGUUGUAAUUAAUUUAUUGAGCUCCACCCAGACCCAAAAAAGCAAAGAAAAAACCCAAAUCGGUUUUCACUGGAACCACCUCUGGGGAAUUUCACAGAACUGGGUUAAAACGUUUAGGAAUCGGUAAGUAAUUGGGCUGAUUUGGGCUUGUUUGUGGUUAGAGGUGAAGGCAGCUUGAGAUAAAGCAGCACUUUGGGUAUGUUUGUGCAGUUUACAGGUUUUUGAUUGCUGCAGGAAGCAGGCCUGGGAUUAAUGGAUGGGGGCUGCAUCACGUCGCUCUGUUCACUGCCGCAGUUGGGCUCUAGUGGCCACCUGACCACACCGUCUGAGGAGCUGCACUUGCUGCCCUGGACCUGCUCCAUGAGUUCUAUGUUUCCCAAAUGGUUUUGUUUAUGAGUAAUAAGUGAUGGCACACAAUCGGCGCUGCAGGAGGGCGUUCAAUGCUGAGGGGGACACUGCUUAAACAUGAAUGGAUCCAAAUUAUAUACUGGAGGGGGAGAAGCACAAUCCCAAAUGGACUUGCCAGUCUUU
Brienomyrus brachyistius is the source of this 1196-nucleotide long non-coding RNA. RefSeq lists it as uncharacterized. The record is from RefSeq and is a predicted model, not a curated record. Lineage: Eukaryota; Metazoa; Chordata; Actinopteri; Osteoglossiformes; Mormyridae. The transcript has 3 exons.